AGCCUCUGGUUAUGACAAGGUCAAGUGUAAGCCAAGAGAAUCCCCACACCCAAAGGAACGACCCAACGGAAAAUAUUUUCACAUCAUCGUGAACUCGAUUUUGUCCAGCUCAAGCUCAUCAACUUUUAAUCAGCGCAUUUGCACAUGUCGGCCACCGUAGGCAGUUUGGACAGAGCCAAAGGGAGAAGAGGAGGGAGUCAUCCCGGAUGUUUGGGUGAAGGAUAACAUGGUUUACUGGCCAACAGGAGAACAGCUGAAGGAAUGCAACAACCAGGAAGCAGCUGGCAAAAGUUUCCACUGCUGAAAAUCUAAAUCAACUCAAAGAAGCGAGAAGAGUGUGAAGCAUUCGACCAAACAACAACUGCACAGCUAAGUGAGGAAGAAUGCAUUCCUGUUAGGAGGGUGAAGAAGAAAAGAUAACCAGGGUUUAUCUUAGAUGAGGAUGAAAGCAGCUCAGAUGGUGCUGGAACCAGAUGUGGCAAUGUGCAGAAACGAUGUGUGGAACCACAGUCACAACACAGUCCAUCCUUGACAAAACCACCAAGGGUUCAACAAAAGAGACACAGAUCUAAGUCCCAGUCUCCUACACAUCCUUCAAACUACACCCAAAAGAUCACACACUCAGCACAAGAGCUCCCGCUCUCCAGCCAGAAGUCCCGCCCUCCGCACCACAGCUCUACACACCAUCACUCCCAGUCUACUCAUCGGUGGUCCCACACUCCACAUGAGGGAACCAAUCCCAUCAGAUAAUGGAAGUUAGUAUACCUCCUAACUCCUUUUGCAAAUGGAACUAAUGUUUAUUUUCAUUCCGAUUUGCCCUUCAAAAGUUCCAAAGAAGGGUCCUCUAUCUACUGGCCGAUGUUCGUGAAAAGCUGUCCCAGGUGGGCCAAAGCUGUUUGCUUCAAGAUUCUCAGUUCCACCUGGCAUACCUGCAAAUUCUGAAUGGCUGAAAAAGGUGACCCCCCCAGGAAAAUACGUCAGAGUUCUUACAAACAAGUUGAUGGCUAUAAUGAACAUGGAUGGCACAGGGCUAAAGAAAGCCUUUGGCAAAACACGGCUCAGCCAAGUUAUAACAGGUGCUGUACAGCAGUCAAAACCAGCAUUGUCAGAGGUGAUAUAAAAAAUCAUAUGAAGAACUAUCUCCGGUCUGCUCCCGACAGAUAUGGGGGUGUGGGACGCCAAAAGGGGCCAGACAGCAGUUGAUCAUUGUUCAAGAUCAGAAUAAGUAUUUGACCAAAUCCAGCCUACAUUUGUACUUUUACAUUUGAAGCUGAUGAAUAAAACUUUUCUUAAAUUUG
Hypomesus transpacificus is the source of this 1298-nucleotide long non-coding RNA. RefSeq lists it as uncharacterized. NCBI's taxonomy places the organism in Eukaryota, Metazoa, Chordata, Actinopteri, Osmeriformes, Osmeridae. The transcript has 7 exons. The record is from RefSeq and is a predicted model, not a curated record.